Long non-coding RNA from Nicotiana attenuata, 560 nucleotides. RefSeq lists it as uncharacterized. The transcript has 3 exons. NCBI's taxonomy places the organism in Eukaryota, Viridiplantae, Streptophyta, Magnoliopsida, Solanales, Solanaceae. The record is from RefSeq and is a predicted model, not a curated record.
ACAACUGCGAUGGAAGUUGAAAGUUGUUCGUAUGGGGAAAGUACAUAUUUACAAUUUAGACAUUGCUUUCUCGAUUGAAUUGGUUCUACAAGAUGAAAAGAUACCUAGGAAGAGCUGGCAGCCUUAAACUUGUCAUUUUCAAGCUCAAUAAAUUAUGCAGAAGAUCAGUUUAGGCGGAAUACUCUUUAACAUACCAUGACAGAGUUAAGGACGUUCACUUUCUCAUGGAACUCUCAUCCAGAUAUGUUGAAUUUUACUUGCAAAAGAAGGGCCAUGCCAGAUCAGGUGACAUGAAUAUCAAUCGCUAUGAGGUAUUCCAAGAUGUAGGAUUAAGGCCGCUGGAUAAGACCAUUGAGGCGUCGUAAUUCAGCUAGCUUGCUUACUUGAUUAAAAUUGGCAAAUCUUUGUUCAGUAAGCUUUUUUUAUUUAUUUAUUCUUGAUCUCAUGGCUAUUGAUGAAAAUUAAUCUUUCAUGUUCUUAGGAGUUUUUCCUUCUUUUUUAAAUCGAAUGUCUCAAAGAGACCCUGGGGAGUUUUUCUUUCAUUUAGGUGAAAGAACCAA